GAGGGCCAUCAUCCCUGACAGGGUCCUUU
RNAcentral lists this non-coding RNA (29 nucleotides) under Rattus norvegicus (Norway rat). Lineage: Eukaryota; Metazoa; Chordata; Mammalia; Rodentia; Muridae. The record is from RNAcentral.